This is a long non-coding RNA of Zonotrichia leucophrys gambelii, 4438 nucleotides long. RefSeq lists it as uncharacterized. Lineage: Eukaryota; Metazoa; Chordata; Aves; Passeriformes; Passerellidae. The transcript is spliced from 11 exons. The record is from RefSeq and is a predicted model, not a curated record.
UGGGCGUUGCUCUGGCAACGUCGCGGCCUUGGCCCCGCCAUAGCCCGUGAGGAGGGCGCGCCUCCCCUCAGCCCCAACCCCGCCAAAACGAGGGGGUGGGUCCUGUUGCUUUUUAUUGAAAGCCUCAAUUAAAAUUAAUCUGGGAGGGCAAUAAUAAGGAAGGAAAUGAAGGGAUGGAUAUAAAAGUAUAUGUGUACUGCGGUGUCAUUACUUGUCGGUGGCGAUUAAGGGAGUCCUGCUGUCUGGAAAUUGGCUUUGCCUCCCAGGAAACCUGAGGAAAGCGCUGCCCUAGUUAAUGCUGCCGUAGCUCUUGGGAGAGGCUUGGAAUGAGAUAGAUACAGGUUUUCUUUUGAAAUAUGCUCUUGAAUAAAUUAGUUUGCGUCCAGAAAUGGCAUCUGUUUUCCCUGGCUCAGAUAUUUUUCUGGAAAAGUGUUUAGGUAUGCAGCUCACACGGAAAGUGGGACUAAUAUCUAAGCAGCUUUGAAAAUCGGCGCUGUGUUGUUUUGAGUCAGGACAGAAAUGCUGUUUUAAUUCCAAAGUUUGAAUACAGCAAUGCUGCGGGGUCAGUAAGCCCUGGAGAAGGAAAGGAUGGGCCCUUAGAUGUAAAAGUUAUGAUGUGGAAAAUUAAGUGUUUGGAAGAGUUAAGUGGCCUGGUGUUCAGCGCCACCACCUAACAACAAAGCUUCUCUUUUAUUUUCAAAGAAGUAGCUGAAAACUCUGUGUCUCUUGGAGGUCACUUGCUGAUUUAUCUCCAAUUCACAGCUCAUUAGAAGGUGUGUAACUCUUCAGAGAUGUUGUUAUUUAACAGGCGAAGAUAAAGCCUUGAAUGAGAAUCAGCCAGUGGAGCCACAAAGGGCAGCUGCAGUUUUUGCUCCCUGCACAGGAGGGUGCUCAGCCUCUGUCUUUAUCUGCAGGCAGGAGCAGCUCCCGUGCUCAUCAGGACCAGGUGGAGAAGCCGUUUCCUGAACCGGCCUUUUCCUGUAGUGACACUGGAGGAUCUGUUCAAUCCAGUGACUCAGAAAUUAUUCAGAUGUUCAGGAAUUUCGGGAGGGAUCAAAGAGGGGUCCUGGAUGUUGUUGCCUGGUCAGGUUUUAGUCAAUUCAGCCAAAGCACAGUGGCCAGGCUUGUCUGGUUCAGGAGGAAAUGCAGAGAUGGAUUUUAGAGAUGAAUUUUAGAGAUGAAUUUUUGACCAGACCGCGUUUGCGAUCAAGUUCAUUUCCACAGAAGGACUUCCCCUGUGCAUUCCAUGUUUCUGUCCCAGCUCUGUCAAUGUCUGGGUGCUGUUCCCAGUGCUGAGGUGCACUGGAAGCUGAUCCUUGGCUUUCCCCCUGGCCCAGCCUUUGUCUGCAGCCGUGGGUGAGGGCAGGCCCGGCUGCUGUGCCUGCUGCAGGGAGAUAACGGGGUGCUUGUUAACCACGGCUCUUAUCUCCCUGCCCUGUACCCUGCUCCUGCCUGCUCUGCUCACCCCAGCCCUCAGCAGCUUGGUGACAUUUCUGUCACAAAAAAAAGAGACCCCAAACAUCUCCAGUUCUGUCCCUCAGAAUGGGGAUUUUGGGAUUGAUACAAUCAGAGGUUGUUUAAUGGAAGUCUUGAGUUGAACAAAAAUCUCUGAACUAAAUCACAGCACACCCAUAUCCUUCAAGCUGUCAAACAAAACAUCUGGUUAUGAUAAUCAUUAUCUUAAUUGAAGAGUUCUAGCUCAUGCCAUGCUUUUCUUCAUUAAUGGAGAGAAUUAAUGAAAGAAUACUUAGGAAAGUACUUAACUAUUUAACUAAGAGCUACUUCUGAAGUGAAACACUGCUGAAGGAAUACUGGAAUUCAUCUUAGCCUCCUAGAUAAACUUCUUCCUGGUGAACUUCACCAAGUUAACCAUUUUUCAGCCUCCACUGCUGCAGUACAAAUGUGCUUCCUUAAAUCUGGCUUGCUUGCAGACAGAGUCUGACACACUGGAUUUAGUACAGCUGCAGAAUUAACAUUCAGAACUCCCAUGCUGCACAGUUUCCCCACGUGUUACAUAAAAAUGCUGUGCAGUUCCUCUCUCCAAAGCUCCUCUCUCAGGGCUUUAGCUGCCUGUUUGCCUCCCCUUUGGUUGCUGUUUUCAUUUAUACAAAUCCAAUUUUACACACUCGCCCCAAUUACCGUUCAUUGGGAGAUAAAUAUGGUAAAUUGAUAAUUCUGCCUGAUAUUGGCUUAACAUGCAAGGUGUGACAGCUUCAGAACGUAUUUUGAAGGUUUGUUGUGUUGCAGGUGAGGGGAGGAAAUGUGGUUUUUUUUGAACACCUGAGCUGCAGAGCUGUGAUGGUUUGGAUGUUGUUGAGUUUCAACGUGCCCAGUUUGGGAUCCAUCUCUGUCUUGUUUAAUCCUUCAAGGUAGAGAAUGGCUCAGAUUCCAUCCCCAAAUUUUCAGAAUUUGUCAUCCAGAGACUGAAUUUCAUUCUGGAAGGUUUUUGGGAAAGGAACUGAUUUGAUUUUGGGAGUAGAUGGAUUUUAAAGUAAGAUUUAGGUAAAUACCAUCAGGAACAUCUCCUCCUCCUCCAUGGCUUUUCAUAGCAAAAGUAGCUCUGUUAUUUUUGUAUUCUAAAGAAAUAUUUCCUAACCUUUAUUUUACAAAGAGUCCCUUUUAGCAACCAACUAAAUUUUUUUUACUUUUCUCAGUUUUUCAGCCCAGAUUUGGAAAUCAUUCCUUCCCUCUUUAUCCUAAUGGUCCUUCCCCUGCAGGAGAAUCUCAGCCUGGAUUCCAGUGGAGUCAGCAGUGAAGGAUGGACUGGGAGCAGUGUGAAAUUCUUGUUGCAUCUCCUGACAGGAGAGCAGAGCCACAGAGCAGGAAACAGCAUCAACAUUCUUCAUAAAGCAGAGAAAAUAGCUUUAUCAGUUACCAGCGAGCUCAUCACAGCACCAGCUGAAAGUUAUUAUGUAAAAUGGGUAAAUUGGAGUCUUUAAAGGAGCUGCCAACUUGCAUUUGCCUGAGUUACUUCAGCAGUGGAGAGCAGAGGAAGAAUUCCAGACACGUCAUCCUGAUUUCACAAGUCUGCAGAGAUCUCCAGAGUGGACUUACCCAUCUGUGAGGAAGGCUAUACAUGCAAAUUCAGAUUCCUGAAGCAUUCCCACUAACUCUGCCCUUCUGUUCUGGCAGAAUGAGGAAAAACUGUGGGCUGCCAAAAGGUGAAGACAACCACUUUAUCUGCAAGAGAAUAUUCAUUUAUGGCACUUCACUGGUGAUACAGGUUUGAAAUGGGAAAAUGGGCUUAAAGCCGCCUUCAGGAGAGAUUUACUCUCAGCUUUCUCCAGUGGGAUUGCUUUGAGUCUGUAAGGGCAUCAUGGUUGAGGGCAUGAGGAUGAGGACAUCAAAGCCUUUGCCCACUGAUGACAAUUUCUCUGGAGACAAACACAGCUCAGAAGACAAAUGUUAUGAGCUACCUGUAAGUUCUGGUUCACAAAACAGAUGAGAAUCCAGAGAUACUCCUGAACUUGGAAAUGAAAUUUAUUCUCAAGGUAUUAAUUGCUGGCUUGUGAAAUAGCUUGUCUGGGAAAAUGGAAAGAAUGGACAGCCUCAAAAAACUCCCUUUCCCCUGCCCUGAAGAACUGCAGCCACAGUGUUUCAUGUGGAGCAGGGCUCCUCACAAAUCACCAGUUUCCCAAAGAAAGGAGGUUCUUAUUCAUAAUUCAGGUAUUUUGGGUGUUUUCCCUUUGAUAUUCUGCCUGUUGUACCUAUAGACAUCCCAAUUUCUAAAAGCCUGCUGGACCUUGUGCUAAACCUUGGCUUUUUUCCUGGAUUACACUUCCAUGGAAUACUUGGCCAUGGAUUAACAGUUUCACAGUUAUGUGCCCAAAGUUCUUUUGCCUUCGUGCUGAUUUAAUUCCUUUUCUACUCCCAUCUCUCUUCUCAGGUGGAGCCUCAUCUUGAGCAGCCUUGGGAGGGCCAAAGGUUCUCCCUUUUCCAGUUCCCUGCCUGGAUUUUAGCAGAUACCAUUUUUUAGCAUCUCAACGAGGAAAUCACAGCAAUUUCCAUGGGAAGAAUCCCAGAGAUGACAGGGCUUCCCCCCAAAACACUGCCUGUGUAAUUGCUGAAGACAUUCCAAGCCCCUCUAACGAAGUGCUGUCUGCCAGUCAUUCUGUUCUCCUUGCAGGACCAUCUGUUGCACUUCAAAUAUGUAAAGGUCUCUAUCAUUUAUUGCUCCAAACAAAUCCAGGCCUUUGUCUGAUGUGCUGGAGCUCCUGAAUGGAUUCUCAAGGUGGUUUCAGUCACAAAGGGCAGGGUGUUGCCUUUGGUUGUCCUCCCUCAGCUCAAAUUUCAGAGCACAAAAAUACUGAUUAAACCAAUAGCUGGAUAUUUUCAAUUUCUUUAGAAAUGAAUUACGAACAAUAACAACUAAAAAUAUCUGAAAUACGUUUUUAUUCAGCCAGGAGGACAUUGGAAGGUUUUUGCCUCUGGUGAACAA